This is a long non-coding RNA of Helianthus annuus (common sunflower), 360 nucleotides long. RefSeq lists it as uncharacterized. The transcript is spliced from 3 exons. The record is from RefSeq and is a predicted model, not a curated record. NCBI's taxonomy places the organism in Eukaryota, Viridiplantae, Streptophyta, Magnoliopsida, Asterales, Asteraceae.
UCCUGAUCGAUUGAAACCCCAGGAACGAACUAGACUUCUUUCAAACCCUAAAUUCUACAAAUUUCCCUCAAAAAUUAAAGGAGAAUUCAAUCAAGAAUCAAUCUUAGGCUAGUAUCUUGAUCACUAACACUAGGAGAUCGAAAGGUGAUGUGGGUGGAUCAUCAAGUGGGCAAGGUGGAACGGAUACCCGCUUAAGGGAAAGCUUUGAAAAAGGUUGCUCAUGGAAUGCGUUGGAUGUGGAUCAAGCGAGAACAAGGACCGAACACACAACUUACAAAAGAUUCCGCUAAUAAACUAGUUUCUUUUUGCUAUCAAACUUAUGUGUAAUAGUUAUAAUAGUGAUGUUUGAAGUUUUAAACG